Molecule: ribosomal RNA, 474 nt
Filed under: uncultured bacterium
Lineage: Bacteria
Description: bacterial SSU rRNA
Rfam family: Bacterial small subunit ribosomal RNA
Source: RNAcentral
UCAGUCGACUCCUACGGGGAGGCAGCAGUGGGGAAUAUUGCACAAUGGGGGAAACCCUGAUGCAGCCAUGCCGCGUGUGUGAAGAAGGCCUUCGGGUUGUAAAGCACUUUCAGUAGGGAGGAAGGUAGUGUAGUUAACACCUGCAUUAUUUGACGUUACCUACAGAAGAAGCACCGGCUAACUCCGUGCCAGCAGCCGCGGUAAUACGGAGGGUGCGAGCGUUAAUCGGAAUUACUGGGCGUAAAGCGCAUGCAGGCGGCCUGUUAAGUCAGAUGUGAAAGCCCGGGGCUUAACCUCGGAAUUGCAUUUGAAACUGGCAGGCUAGAGUCUUGUAGAGGGGGGUAGGAAUUUCAGGUGUAGCGGUGAAAUGCGUAGAGAUCUGAAGGAAUACCAGUGGCGAAGGCGGCCCCCUGGACAAGACUGACGCUCAGAUGCGAAAGCGUGGGGAGCAAACAGGAUUAGAUACCCUGGUAG